Molecule: ribosomal RNA, 490 nt
Filed under: uncultured bacterium
Lineage: Bacteria
Description: partial 16S ribosomal RNA
Rfam family: Bacterial small subunit ribosomal RNA
Source: RNAcentral
AUUGAACGCUGGCGGCAUGCCUUACACAUGCAAGUCGAACGGCAGCAUGAUCUAGCUUGCUAGAUUGAUGGCGAGUGGCGAACGGGUGAGUAAUACAUCGGAACGUGCCCUGUAGUGGGGGAUAACUAGUCGAAAGAUUAGCUAAUACCGCAUACGACCUGAGGGUGAAAGUGGGGGACCGCAAGGCCUCAUGCUAUAGGAGCGGCCGAUGUCUGAUUAGCUAGUUGGUGAGGUAAAGGCUCACCAAGGCGACGAUCAGUAGCUGGUCUGAGAGGACGAUCAGCCACACUGGGACUGAGACACGGCCCAGACUCCUACGGGAGGCAGCAGUGGGGAAUUUUGGACAACGGGCGAAAGCCUGAUCCAGCAAUGCCGCGUGUGCGAAGAAGGCCUUCGGGUUGUAAAGCACUUUUGUCCGGAAAGAAAUGGCUCUGGUUAAUACCUGGGGUCGAUGACGGUACCGGAAGAAUAAGGACCGGCUAACUACGUG